This 512-nucleotide ribosomal RNA is filed under the name uncultured bacterium. Its description in RNAcentral is "bacterial SSU rRNA". It matches the Rfam family "Bacterial small subunit ribosomal RNA", at positions 15 to 518 of the family's 1533-position model. The record is from RNAcentral.
GAUCCUGGCUCAGGAUGAACGCUAGCUACAGGCUUAACACAUGCAAGUCGAGGGGUAGCAGGAUCUAGCAAUAGAUUGCUGACGACCGGCGCACGGGUGAGUAACACGUAUCCAACCUUCCGUUUACUCGGGGAUAGCCUUUCGAAAGAAAGAUUAAUACCCGAUAGUAUGCUUUUCCCGCAUGGGAGAAUCAUUAAAGUUUUUCGGUAAUCGAUGGGGAUGCGUUCCAUUAGGCAGUUGGUGAGGUAACGGCUCACCAAACCUUCGAUGGAUAGGGGUUCUGAGAGGAAGGUCCCCCACAUUGGAACUGAGACACGGUCCAAACUCCUACGGGAGGCAGCAGUGAGGAAUAUUGGUCAAUGGACGAGAGUCUGAACCAGCCAAGUAGCGUAGAAGGAUGACUGCCCUAUGGGUUAGUAAACUUCUUUUAUAUGGGAAUAAAGGAGCCUACGUGUUAGGUUUUUGUAUGUACCAUACGAAUAAGGAUCGGCUAACUCCGUGCCAGCAGCCGC